GCCCGGGUGGCGAAACCGGUAUACGCGGAGCACUCAAAAUGCUCUGCCCGCAAGGGCGUGCGGGUUCGAGUCCCGCCCCGGGCA
Molecule: transfer RNA, 84 nt
Filed under: Thermoleophilaceae bacterium
Lineage: Bacteria; Bacillati; Actinomycetota; Thermoleophilia; Thermoleophilales; Thermoleophilaceae
Description: tRNA-Leu
Rfam family: tRNA
About the family: Transfer RNA (tRNA) molecules are approximately 80 nucleotides in length. Their secondary structure includes four short double-helical elements and three loops (D, anti-codon, and T loops).
Source: RNAcentral